Molecule: ribosomal RNA, 484 nt
Filed under: uncultured bacterium
Lineage: Bacteria
Description: partial 16S ribosomal RNA
Rfam family: Bacterial small subunit ribosomal RNA
Source: RNAcentral
AUUGAACGCUGGCGGCAGGCCUAACACAUGCAAGUCGAGCGGAGGAAGGGAGCUUGCUCCUGGAUUCAGCGGCGGACGGGUGAGUAAUGCCUAGGAAUCUGCCUGGUAGUGGGGGAUAACGUCCGGAAACGGGCGCUAAUACCGCAUACGUCCUGAGGGAGAAAGUGGGGGAUCUUCGGACCUCACGCUAUCAGAUGAGCCUAGGUCGGAUUAGCUAGUGGGUGGGGUAAAGGCCUACCAAGGCGACGAUCCGUAACUGGUCUGAGAGGAUGAUCAGUCACACUGGAACUGAGACACGGUCCAGACUCCUACGGGAGGCAGCAGUGGGGAAUAUUGGACAAUGGGCGAAAGCCUGAUCCAGCCAUGCCGCGUGUGUGAAGAAGGUCUUCGGAUUGUAAAGCACUUUAAGUUGGGAGGAAGGGCAGUAAGUUAAUACCUUGCUGUUUUGACGUUACCAACAGAAUAAGCACCGGCUAACUUCGUG